GCGCGAGUGGCGGAAUUGGCAGACGCGCUGGACUUAGGAUCCAGUGGUGUACACCGUGUGGGUUCAAGUCCCACUUCGCGCACCA
This 85-nucleotide transfer RNA is filed under the name Tepiditoga spiralis. Its description in RNAcentral is "Oceanotoga sp. sy52 tRNA-Leu". It matches the Rfam family "tRNA". Rfam says of the family: Transfer RNA (tRNA) molecules are approximately 80 nucleotides in length. Their secondary structure includes four short double-helical elements and three loops (D, anti-codon, and T loops). Further hydrogen bonds mediate the characteristic L-shaped molecular structure. tRNAs have two regions of fundamental functional importance: the anti-codon, which is responsible for specific mRNA codon recognition, and the 3' end, to which the tRNAs corresponding amino acid is attached (by aminoacyl-tRNA synthetases). tRNAs cope with the degeneracy of the genetic code in two manners: having more than one tRNA (with a specific anti-codon) for a particular amino acid; and 'wobble' base-pairing, i.e. permitting non-standard base-pairing at the 3rd anti-codon position. The record is from RNAcentral. Lineage: Bacteria; Thermotogati; Thermotogota; Thermotogae; Petrotogales; Petrotogaceae.